This 483-nucleotide ribosomal RNA is filed under the name Triticum aestivum (bread wheat). RNAcentral's name for it is "partial small subunit ribosomal RNA". The record is from RNAcentral. Lineage: Eukaryota; Viridiplantae; Streptophyta; Magnoliopsida; Poales; Poaceae.
AUGCGUGUUUGCCUAGUAUAUGGUAAGUGUAUGAGUAACGUAUGGCUACGGAUGGAGCAGCAAAUGCGCGCUCCAGCCCGAGCUAGGCGUAGCGCGGAGGGGAGCGGGCGCGGGCGGCGCGUGGAUGGAUGCGGCAGACCGAAGCGAAGCCCAUGCGCGGCGCGCGCACGGACUGAUGGCCGGCAUCACAACGGUGGUGACGAAGAGGCCGACGGCGAGGAUGCUUUGCCCCUCGCGGCCGCUCCGGGCGCGUGUCGAUGUUGGGCCCCCGAGCGCUACCGGAGAGACGACGGCGACGCCGCGGUGAUGAUGGCGAAAAUGGUGAGGCCGACGGCGAGGACGCGCCGCCCCUCGCGGCCACUCCGGGGCCGUGUCGAUGUCGAGCCCCCGACCGCUACUAGAGGGACGGCGCGACGCCGCGGCGGUGAAGGCGAAAAAUGGUCCCGCCCGGACUGCGAAACCAGCAGCAGCAUGGUAGCAUAG